AUACGGAGGAUCCGAGCGUUACCCGGAUUUAUUGGGUUUAAAGGGUGCGCAGGCGGGAGAUUAAGUCGGCGGUGAAAUUUUGGAGCUCAACUGUAAAAGGGCCUUCGAAACUGGUUUACUUGAGUGUAGGUGAGGUAGGCGGAAUUUGAUGGGUAGCGGUGGAAUGCAUAGAUAUCACGAGGAACUCCGAUUGCGCAGGCGGCUUACUAAACUACUACUGACGCUCAGGCACGAAGGCGUGGGGAUCAAACAGGAUUAGAUACCCUGGUAGUCCACGCAGUAAACGAUGAUUACUAGCUGUUUGCGAUACAAUGUAAGCGGCUGAGCGAAAGCGUUAAGUAAUCCGCCUGGGGAGUACGUUCGCAAGAAUGAAACUCAAAGGAAUUGACGGGG
RNAcentral lists this ribosomal RNA (393 nucleotides) under uncultured bacterium. RNAcentral's name for it is "partial 16S ribosomal RNA". It matches the Rfam family "Bacterial small subunit ribosomal RNA", at positions 523 to 918 of the family's 1533-position model. The record is from RNAcentral.